AUGCGCGACAAGGGACCGGGUCCGCAGACCUCUAGUUCUACUGCAAGCAGAGAUAAUAGAAGUAUCUGGGAUAGCAUCUGGAAAUCGAGAGUGCCGGAGAAGAUCAAAAUAUUUGCGUGGAGGGUAGCCACUAACACCUUAGCAACCAAGGUGAACAAAUGCAGACGUACGUUGGCAACGGACAAAACAUGCGACAUCUGCGGUACUACGGAAGAGAAUGAAUACCAUGCGGUAGUAACUUGCACAAAGAGCAGAGCACUCAGGGAAGAGAUGAGGAAGCACUGGAAGAUUCCGAAGGAAAGAUCAUUCUGGCAUACGGGGGAAGACUGGCUUCAGGGCCUCCUUAUUGCAUGUGACGACGAGGAGAAAAGCAGAGUGCUAAUGUUACUGUGGCGUGCAUGGUUUCUCCGGGAGGACAUAAUCCACGGGAAUGGGAAAGAAUGUAUCUUGAGAUUGUUGGAAAUAUGCCCUAGAGGCAAUAAUAAAUAG
RNAcentral lists this ribosomal RNA (489 nucleotides) under Triticum aestivum (bread wheat). RNAcentral's name for it is "partial small subunit ribosomal RNA". The record is from RNAcentral. Lineage: Eukaryota; Viridiplantae; Streptophyta; Magnoliopsida; Poales; Poaceae.